UGUAAUUUAGUUCAAUUCAGAACUGCAGAUAGUACAGCUUCCACAGGAGCGAGGGAUGCCUGCACACAAGGGGCUGAGUUCCCAGUGACUUCCCGAAGCACUUUUCCGCCUUCCUCCGGCAUGAAAACCGAUUCUGCACCUGCACCGGGGACAGCCUGGCAAAAGCCUCUGCUCUUCCUCCGGGAAAACAAGGAACUAGAGCAGAUGACCAUUUUGAAAUUGGAUCUUGGCAAAAUUGCCAACAGAUCCAUUAAGGCAGUUUGAUCUACAUCUUCGAUGACAGUUCCAUCAAAGUUGAGGAAACAUGUCAUGUCUUCAAGGAAGAAUGAAGCUUGUUUGGUUAUACCCUAAAAUUAGGACAUGACUAAGCUUCUGAAAUGCCAACGUGAUGACUGCAGAUGCACCUGAAAUGAAAGCAAGUUCAAGAGAAUCCAAGAGUCUUUAAAUAGGAGAUCAUCAAGCUACAGCACCAGCCUUGGAUUGCCUACUUCAACUGAAUGAAUGGAUUCCAAUUUUAUUAAAGUGGUUGCUAUGUGUGAUUGUGAUUUCUGUCAUUUAAGCAAAACAAUAAUCACAGGACAAAGUGGCAAUAAGUGAACUCAAGAAGUAAUUUGACAUUGGUGAAUUGUCACCUGAAUGCCUCCAUCCCCACAAAGAGAACAGAAAUCAAUCCAUGUGAGAAGUGAUAAAAAACAUAACAGAUGGGGGCUGGUGCCAUGGCUCACUACGCUAAUCCUCCGCCUGCGGCGCCUGCACCCCAGGUUCUAGUCCCGAUGUUGCUGUGUCUCCUAAGGAAACAAGAUGUA
Molecule: long non-coding RNA, 806 nt
Organism: Lepus europaeus (European hare)
Lineage: Eukaryota; Metazoa; Chordata; Mammalia; Lagomorpha; Leporidae
Exons: 3
Source: RefSeq, a predicted model, not a curated record